CUUCUGUUGCAGGAACUGGAGAGGAGAGGGGGCGCUUGCUGGACUGCGCGUUAAUAUCUGACGCCGAAGCCUGCAGCCGCUUGGGUUGACAGGAAAAGGCGAUGGCGGCCAAUUCCAGCCUCUUGGCGCUUUGUCGAGCUGCUAGCUGCCAGCAACGGGAUAAAUUGGUUUCCCCGGUCUGCUCGCAAGAAUUGUCCUUGCCGAACGGCCUACGCGUUCGCCCGCCGCUGUUCGAACCACCUUAGCUUGCGUAGCGGCGGUGGAUACCAAGCUGCAGCUGGUUGAGUUCUCGCCAGCCUCCGUGUCCGCGCGAUGGCCGAAAGCAGCCAACUCCUCGUCACAGUCAGAGCGUCGCUCGUCCGGUCGUUAUCGCCGCCCUCCGGCCAAUUGGCGCGCGGGGCUGGCCGUCGCAUCGCCCGACUGCAAACGUGGAGGCGUGCCCCGAACUUCGAAACAGCUGCAGGUGGGGUACCGGGUUCAGCUCGCUGCAUGAAGACGUACCCCGCCGUCCGCUUGGUUCGGCCCCGCUGCGAAGCGCGUGUGACGUCAUCGUGCCGAAUGGCACGGAGGCAGACCUUCGUUGGAUUCUCCCCGCUGGCUGACAAUGUCCUGUGACCCAGGAGACCGACGACGCUGGGCACGCGGCUGGCGCGCGGCGACGGGGUGCGAGGAGCGCGACUAUAAGGAUGGCGCGCUCGCUCAUCCCCAGCGACGGCCCAUCAGCACCUGAGGCGCCGACCGGGAGACCGACGACGCCGGGCACGCGGCUGGCGCGCGGCGACGGGGUGAGAGAAGCGCGACUAUAAGGAUGGCGCGCUCGCUCAUCCCCAGCGACGGCCCGCCAGCACCUGAGGCGCCGACCGGGAGGCCUGCGGUGAUAGCUGUCGCGCUGCGGGCGGGGACCGGACGCGCCGCGACGGAGACGGCGCCGGCCGGAGGGAAAGGCUGCUCCCUGCGCGGGGUCUGGCUGACUGAAGAUGCUAGACGCCUGGCCCUACCCCGGAUGAGGAUAGUGUUCACCGGAGCGGGGUACUAAGUCACCCGGACCGGUGGUCACGAAUCAGCCCGGAAGAGCGUUCAAUUGCUGGCAUUCACGGCCUGUUCAAGUCAACGGCGUGAGAUCCGUUUCGUCGCUUGGAGUGCAUCGCCCGAGUUGGCCGUGCCUGCACCAACGCUUGAUCUGCACUCGGCGUUACAACACCAGCAGAGUGAACCAUCGGGGAAUGCUGCAUAUCGUGAUACGUGUCUUACGCUGGCACCGGCUGGGUGCGUUGGGGGGGGGGGGGAUUGUGACCCGCGGAACACAACGUUAAGGAGCUAGUGCGAUGUCUGAUACUGUGCAAUAAACGUGCCAUGCAAGUU
This is a long non-coding RNA of Pollicipes pollicipes, 1362 nucleotides long. RefSeq lists it as uncharacterized. Lineage: Eukaryota; Metazoa; Arthropoda; Thecostraca; Pollicipedomorpha; Pollicipedidae. The transcript has 11 exons. The record is from RefSeq and is a predicted model, not a curated record.